Molecule: non-coding RNA, 246 nt
Organism: Pelobates cultripes (western spadefoot toad)
Lineage: Eukaryota; Metazoa; Chordata; Amphibia; Anura; Pelobatidae
Source: the annotation of a GenBank genome assembly
CCUUUCAGCGCCACAGGAGUGGGACCCUGAGGGUGGGGGCACCCUCAGGGCACUACAGUGCCAAGAAAACAAGUUUGUUUUCCUGGCACUAUAGUGGUCCUUUAAGGAAGAACCUAUGGUUAUAGAAAUGCAAAUGAUUGCUGCAAAACACUUGCAGAAAAAGUGUGAUUGGAUGACUCAAGACAAGUUGCUGCAGUAGCUAAACAAAGUUCCAUGGCCUAAUGAUAUUCACCACGAAUACUUAAG